This 650-nucleotide ribosomal RNA is filed under the name uncultured bacterium. RNAcentral describes it as "bacterial SSU rRNA". It matches the Rfam family "Bacterial small subunit ribosomal RNA", at positions 56 to 752 of the family's 1533-position model. The record is from RNAcentral.
UGCAAGUCGACGAAGUAGCAAUACUUAGUGGCAGACGGGUGAGUAACAUGUAGGUAUCUGCCCUUUGGCCUGGAAUAACACGAGGAAACUUGUGCUAAUACCGGAUAAGUCUUUACGGAGAAAGCUUUAUGCACCAUUGGAUGAGCCUGCACUAGAUUAGUUUGUUGGUGGGGUAAUGGCCUACCAAGACUGUGAUCUAUAGCUGAUUUGAGAGGAUGAUCAGCCACAUUGGGACUGAGACACGGCCCAAACUCCUACGGGAGGCAGCAGUGGGGAAUCUUGCACAAUGGAGGAAACUCUGAUGCAGCGAUGCCGCGUGAGUGAAGAAGGCCUUUGGGUUGUAAAGCUCUUUCGUCGGGGAAGAAAAUGACUGUACCCGAAUAAGAAGGUCCGGCUAACUUCGUGCCAGCAGCCGCGGUAAUACGAAGGGACCUAGCGUAGUUCGGAUUUACUGGGCUUAAAGAGUUCGUAGGUGGUUGAAAAAGUUAGUGGUGAAAUCCCAGAGCUUAACUCUGGAACUGCCACUAAAACUUUUCAGCUAGAGUAUGAUAGAGGAAAGCAGAAUUUCUAGUGUAGAGGUGAAAUUCGUAGAUAUUAGAAAGAAUACCAAUUGCGAAGGCAGCUUUCUGGAUCAUUACUGACACUGAGGA